RNAcentral lists this long non-coding RNA (1099 nucleotides) under Sarcophilus harrisii (Tasmanian devil). Its description in RNAcentral is "lncRNA (ENSSHAG00000027339.1)". The record is from RNAcentral. Lineage: Eukaryota; Metazoa; Chordata; Mammalia; Dasyuromorphia; Dasyuridae.
GGCCCAGCUGCGGCAUCUUCGGGCAUCUGCCUGGGAUUCGCCUCAAAGGCCCCUCUCCAGGGUGGCCGGGCCCAAUAAAAACAGCACAAAGGGGGCCUUUGUCCCCAAAUCGGGGGCGUGUCUCCCCCCACCAGAGCGCAAGGGCCCCCGUGCUGCACCUUUGGGUGCCGGCCCAGCCAGAGACGGGGAUCAAGAAGGCCCGGCCGGACUCCCAGGCCUCCCAGCCCCCACCGUGCACCCUCGGGAGAGAAAGACCCGGCCUGCGCAACACCCACAUGAGCCCGGGAGGCUCCACACAGACAGCACUGCUGCGCCAAGGGGAGGAGACAAGGGGCAGGAUGGGAAACUCUCAGAGGCCUCGGAAACAAGACCCCCUGGGCCGGCACUGGGGGCUGGCACAGGAAGGUCCGGCACUGGGGGCUGGCACGGGAAGGCCCAUCUGGGCAGCCCUGGGGAGCCCCGCCUCCAGCCCUCCACGCCUUUGCUUGCACACACAGAACCCGAGUCCAGGCCGCAUCUUGGGACAGAUUCAUGUCCCGCCCUGCCCUGCCCCGCCCAAGCUCCCACUCACGCUUCUCUUUGCCCCCCCACCCCCAUGGCCCGGCUGCAGACCACAGCUCAUGGCAAAGGGGCUUCCCGGACCCAGCCGAGGCCUGGAGCCCUGGACUUGGUUCCACGCCGCCCCUGGCCAGGGCCCUGGUCCAAGGCCCGCAACCUAGGAGGCCCGCCUGCGGGCCCGAAAUUUCCGGGAGCAUCGGGGUCCGUGCUCCCCUCACGGCUUCCUCCUCUCCUUAAGCAGCCGGGGACCUCACGGGCUCCUCGGGUUUCUGGCACCUCCUCCCCCGCUGCCUCCUGGGCUGGCCUCGAGUGUCUUUACGCAGGAAGCGCCCAGAGCCCCUGGGCCUGGUGGGACAGUUCUCCUCAUUCACUCACAUCCUGCUGGGCUUGAUCCACCUUCCCAGGCUGGAGACUCCACGUCGGCGGCUCCAUCACCUCCCAACGAUCCCAGGGUCUCCCCGAGCUGGGAAGGGCCUCCCUCCCCCUGUCCUGGGUCAUCCCUGGGCCCACUUCGGCUCUGAACAAAUCGGAUGCCCCUCAC